UCAACUGGGGAUCAUGAAGCAUCAAGUAGAAGAAUCUCACUGUAUAAGCUCCAGUCUUACUAGAUUUCCAUACCCAUCUAUCCCUAUAUGAGUUGAGAUGUUUGUGAUCUUGCAGCAUUUCCAUCAACCUAACAUGUUCCGUAAAUCUCCUGAUUGAGGAGAUCCCUCUGAAUGUAGCAUUUCCAUGGUUGAUUUUACAUAAAACAGAGAAUAGAUCAUACAUUUUAAUUUUAAUGUAAAUUACUACUUAAUCCACUAUAAGAUUGUAAACCAUAAUUUUGUGUUGUAAAAAAAUGAUUCACAUCAUAAAUGACCCAUAAUCUGGAUUGUGAGAUUUGGAACAGAAAAUGUUUUAGGGGUGGCGAUUUCUCCAGUCAAAGAAGACGCACCAUUGCCAAGAUUCCAUUGACCUGAUGUUCCAACAGAUGCUUUCAGACAACCGAACAAGCUGUAGUUGUUCAUCAGCCAAGCAAAAGUCAUACCCAAAUCUUGCGUUGUGAAUUUGUAUUAUUUGUGGAACCUAAUGUUGUGUAAUAGUUUGAUUGAGUUUGUUUUGAAAACUUUAAAUAGUAAACAAGUGAGAUUGAUUGUUUGAUUGAGUUGUUAACUA
This is a long non-coding RNA of Magnolia sinica, 610 nucleotides long. RefSeq lists it as uncharacterized. The record is from RefSeq and is a predicted model, not a curated record. Lineage: Eukaryota; Viridiplantae; Streptophyta; Magnoliopsida; Magnoliales; Magnoliaceae. The transcript has 2 exons.